Molecule: ribosomal RNA, 268 nt
Filed under: Peribacillus simplex
Lineage: Bacteria; Bacillati; Bacillota; Bacilli; Caryophanales; Bacillaceae
Description: partial 16S ribosomal RNA
Rfam family: Bacterial small subunit ribosomal RNA
Source: RNAcentral
UGGGAGCUUGCUCCCUGAGAUUAGCGGCGGACGGGUGAGUAACACGUGGGCAACCUGCCUAUAAGACUGGGAUAACUUCGGGAAACCGGAGCUAAUACCGGAUACGUUCUUUUCUCGCAUGAGAGAAGAUGGAAAGACGGUUUACGCUGUCACUUAUAGAUGGGCCCGCGGCGCAUUAGCUAGUUGGUGAGGUAAUGGCUCACCAAGGCGACGAUGCGUAGCCGACCUGAGAGGGUGAUCGGCCACACUGGGACUGAGACACGGCCCA